UUUGACACAGAUUUUGUGUCGUUCAUUCAUGUAAAGGUAAGUUUGAUGUCUAAGAUUAAAGGUAGCGUUAAGUGGUUUAAUGAAUCCAAAGGAUUCGGUUUCAUUACUCCGGAAGAUGGCAGCAAGGACGUAUUCGUUCACUUUUCUGCUAUCCAGAGCAACGGUUUCAAAACCCUGGCUGAAGGUCAGCGCGUAGAGUUUGAAAUCACCAGUGGCGCUAAAGGACCUUCUGCUGCUAACGUUAUCGCUAUUUAAUUAUACCGAUUUCCUGAAAAACCCGCCUGAUGGCGGGUUUUUAUUU
Molecule: small RNA, 301 nt
Filed under: Dickeya solani
Lineage: Bacteria; Pseudomonadati; Pseudomonadota; Gammaproteobacteria; Enterobacterales; Pectobacteriaceae
Description: cspA
Rfam family: cspA thermoregulator
Source: RNAcentral